RNAcentral lists this ribosomal RNA (478 nucleotides) under uncultured bacterium. RNAcentral describes it as "partial 16S ribosomal RNA". It matches the Rfam family "Bacterial small subunit ribosomal RNA", at positions 28 to 523 of the family's 1533-position model. The record is from RNAcentral.
GACGAACGCUGGCGGCGUGCUUAACACAUGCAAGUCGAACGGUAAGGCCCUUCGGGGUACACGAGUGGCGAACGGGUGAGUAACACGUGGGUGAUCUGCCCUGCACUUCGGGAUAAGCCUGGGAAACUGGGUCUAAUACCGGAUAGGACUCCUGGCUUCAUGGUUGGGGGUGGAAAGCUUUUGCGGUGUGGGAUGGGCCCGCGGCCUAUCAGCUUGUUGGUGGGGUAAUGGCCUACCAAGGCGACGACGGGUAGCCGGCCUGAGAGGGUGGCCGGUCACACUGGGACUGAGAUACGGCCCAGACUCCUACGGGAGGCAGCGGUGGGGAAUAUUGCACAAUGGGCGCAAGCCUGAUGCAGCGACGCCGCGUGAGGGAUGACGGCCUUCGGGUUGUAAACCUCUUUCAGCUAUGACGAAGCGCAAGUGACGGUAGUAGCAGAAGAAGGACCGGCCAACUACGUGCCAGCCGCCGCGGUAA